UGUUUCGACUUCCCCAAUGGUGCUGCCUCU
Molecule: non-coding RNA, 30 nt
Filed under: Homo sapiens (human)
Lineage: Eukaryota; Metazoa; Chordata; Mammalia; Primates; Hominidae
Source: RNAcentral